CCACGCCGUAAACGAUGAUUACUAGGUGUUGGGGACCAAAGGUUUUCAGUGCCGAAGCAAACGCGAUAAGUAAUCCGCCUGGGGAGUACGUUCGCAAGAAUAAAACUCAAAGGAAUUGACGGGGACCCGCACAAGCGGUGGAGCAUGUGGUUUAAUUCGAAGCAACGCGAAGAACCUUACCAAAUCUUGACAUCCUGCUGACAGACUCAUUAAAGGAGUUUUCUUCGGACAGCAGAGACAGGUGGUGCAUGGUUGU
Molecule: ribosomal RNA, 256 nt
Filed under: uncultured bacterium
Lineage: Bacteria
Description: partial 16S ribosomal RNA
Rfam family: Bacterial small subunit ribosomal RNA
Source: RNAcentral